CAAAAAGAGUUUAGGCUCUUAAACCCCUGUGAAUAUACCUGUUUAGUUGCUUCGGCGGGCAGCCCCAGGGCGGGGCCGCGGCCUUUUACAGGUGCCCGCCGAAAGCUCCACCAAACUCUUUUAUUUCUACAGCACUCUGAGUUAAAAAACACAAAUAAGUCA
This 162-nucleotide unclassified non-coding RNA is filed under the name uncultured fungus. Its description in RNAcentral is "sequence contains ITS1, 5.8S rRNA gene". Lineage: Eukaryota; Fungi. The record is from RNAcentral.